AUUAAGCCCAAUAAAAUUUACUAAAAUUGUUGUUGAAAAUAAAAUAAGAUCAAGCCCAAUUUAAAAUACAAGUCCACUUAAACAUAACUAAAAUAGUUUAUGUAAAAGUGUAACCAGGCCCGUAUUACUUUUUAAAACAUAAAAUCCAUUUGAAAAAAUAAGCCCAGCAUACUUGUCUUAGGAAAAGCACUGGCCGAAUGGGCUUAGGGCCCAAAGGCCCGUUAUGAAACAAACAAUCUAGAGAUUUAGAACCCAUGGAAACAAAACAAAAAGAAAAAGCUCGUGCAAUAAUAGAGGAACUCACCGAGAGAGGGAGAAGGCCACUGUGAUGGUGGUCUGGGUGGCUAGCGGCGUGGCUGGGUUCCUGGGCAGGGGUGGUGUGAUGCCAGAGAGAGAGAGAGAGAGAGAGAGAGAGAGAGAGAGAGCAACUGUUAGACCGAAAACAACCCAAAACAACCAAAAAUUACCGAGAGGGAGAGGAGGCUGGCGGCGGUCGUGGGCUUACCGGAAGGGAGUGGGUGCGACGGGACUAGGAUGGCCGGCAGUUUCUGGCACCGUGGGUGGUAUUCCGAUGUCUUCUGUGGUGGACUCUGGGGAAGCAAGUGGUUCGGUUGCUCUGUUUCGAAAGUGCAAAACAGAGGGUUCUGCCUUCACUCCAU
This is a long non-coding RNA of Juglans microcarpa x Juglans regia, 659 nucleotides long. RefSeq lists it as uncharacterized. The record is from RefSeq and is a predicted model, not a curated record. Lineage: Eukaryota; Viridiplantae; Streptophyta; Magnoliopsida; Fagales; Juglandaceae. The transcript is spliced from 4 exons.